GCCAGACUCCUACGGGAGGCAGCAGUGGGGAAUAUUGGGCAAUGGGCGCAAGCCUGACCCAGCAACGCCGCGUGAAGGAAGAAGGCCUUCGGGUUGUAAACUUCUUUUGUCAGGGACGAAGCAAGUGACGGUACCUGACGAAUAAGCCACGGCUAACUACGUGCCAGCAGCCGCGGUAAUACGUAGGUGGCAAGCGUUAUCCGGAUUUAUUGGGUGUAAAGGGCGUGUAGGCGGGAAUGCAAGUCAGAUGUGAAAACUAUGGGCUCAACCCAUAGCCUGCAUUUGAAACUGUAUUUCUUGAGUGCUGGAGAGGCAAUCGGAAUUCCGUGUGUAGCGGUGAAAUGCGUAGAUAUACGGAGGAACACCAGUGGCGAAGGCGGAUUGCUGGACAGUAACUGACGCUGAGGCGCGAAAGCGUGGGGAGCAAACAGGAUUAGAUACCCCGGUAAU
This 450-nucleotide ribosomal RNA is filed under the name uncultured bacterium. Its description in RNAcentral is "bacterial SSU rRNA". It matches the Rfam family "Bacterial small subunit ribosomal RNA", at positions 330 to 794 of the family's 1533-position model. The record is from RNAcentral.